GGUUAAGUUAGAAAGGGCGCACGGUGGAUGCCUUGACACUAGGAGUCGAUGAAGGACGGGACUAACGCCGAUAUGCUUCGGGGAGCUGUAAGUAAGCUUUGAUCCGAAGAUUUCCGAAUGGGGAAACCCACCAUACGUAAUGGUAUGGUAUCCUUAUCUGAAUACAUAGGGUAAGGAAGACAGACCCAGGGAANUGAAACAUCUAAGUACCUG
This 213-nucleotide ribosomal RNA is filed under the name Bacillus thuringiensis serovar kurstaki. RNAcentral's name for it is "partial 23S ribosomal RNA". It matches the Rfam family "Bacterial large subunit ribosomal RNA", at positions 1 to 212 of the family's 2925-position model. Lineage: Bacteria; Bacillati; Bacillota; Bacilli; Caryophanales; Bacillaceae. The record is from RNAcentral. RNAcentral also lists the same sequence under 1 other name.